CGGGAAAAUACGCCGGUCCGUAGGAUCCUCUUGCGUUUAACAUCUUGCACUCUUUCUGCCCGGCAGUAGCGCUCGGUUGUUCCGAGGAAAUAAUGUCCGUGCACAGUUUUCGUUGUGCAAGCAAAAAAGCGUUGCAGCCAUACUCGCUUGACUAUACUGUGUCGACUUAAAGUAAAAUGUCAACGCCGUAUUUAUGUGUGACCAGGCGAAAUAAGCUUUCUUCGUCCGGAUACGACCCGACUCGUCCGACUACCACAAAUAUUACUGCGCAAUAAAUUUGUUGCGAAAUUAUAAUACGAAAUCUAGCGAUCG
Cinara cedri is the source of this 312-nucleotide non-coding RNA. NCBI's taxonomy places the organism in Eukaryota, Metazoa, Arthropoda, Insecta, Hemiptera, Aphididae. The record is from the annotation of a GenBank genome assembly.